This 162-nucleotide ribosomal RNA is filed under the name Amauriopsis dissecta. RNAcentral describes it as "5.8S ribosomal RNA". It matches the Rfam family "5.8S ribosomal RNA". From Rfam's summary of the family: 5.8S ribosomal RNA (5.8S rRNA) is a component of the large subunit of the eukaryotic ribosome. It is transcribed by RNA polymerase I as part of the 45S precursor that also contains 18S and 28S rRNA. Lineage: Eukaryota; Viridiplantae; Streptophyta; Magnoliopsida; Asterales; Asteraceae. The record is from RNAcentral.
AAAAACYYUCGGCAACGGAUAUCUCGGCUCACGCAUCGAUGAAGAACGUAGCAAAAUGCGAUACUUGGUGUGAAUUGCAGAAUCCCGUGAACCAUCGAGUUUUUGAACGCAAGUUGCGCCCGAAGCCAUCUGGUUGAGGGCACGUCUGCCUGGGCGUCACGC